GGAGAGGUGGCAGAGUGGUCGAAUGCACCGCACUCGAAAUGCGGCAUACGGGUGACCGUAUCGGGGGUUCGAAUCCCCCCCUCUCCGCCA
Molecule: transfer RNA, 90 nt
Filed under: Ahrensia sp.
Lineage: Bacteria; Pseudomonadati; Pseudomonadota; Alphaproteobacteria; Hyphomicrobiales; Ahrensiaceae
Also listed under: 2 other names
Description: tRNA-Ser
Rfam family: tRNA
About the family: Transfer RNA (tRNA) molecules are approximately 80 nucleotides in length. Their secondary structure includes four short double-helical elements and three loops (D, anti-codon, and T loops).
Source: RNAcentral